Molecule: ribosomal RNA, 256 nt
Filed under: uncultured Demequina sp.
Lineage: Bacteria; Bacillati; Actinomycetota; Actinomycetes; Micrococcales; Demequinaceae
Description: partial 16S ribosomal RNA
Rfam family: Bacterial small subunit ribosomal RNA
Source: RNAcentral
ACUGACCCUACGGGGGGCAGCAGUGGGGAAUAUUGCACAAUGGGCGAAAGCCUGAUGCAGCGACGCCGCGUGGGGGAUGAAGGCCUUCGGGUUGUAAACCCCUUUCAGCAGGGAAGAAGCGAAAGUGACGGUACCUGCAGAAGAAGCGCCGGCUAACUACGUGCCAGCAGCCGCGGUAAUACGUAGGGCGCAAGCGUUGUCCGGAAUUAUUGGGCGUAAAGAGCUCGUAGGCGGUCUGUCGCGUCUGCUGUGAAAA